RNAcentral lists this ribosomal RNA (253 nucleotides) under uncultured bacterium. RNAcentral's name for it is "partial 16S ribosomal RNA". It matches the Rfam family "Bacterial small subunit ribosomal RNA", at positions 524 to 776 of the family's 1533-position model. The record is from RNAcentral.
UACGUCGGGGGCUAGCGUUGUUCGGAAUUACUGGGCGUAAAGCGUACGUAGGCGGCUUUAUAAGUCAGUGUUGAAAUACUACAGCUUAACUGUGGAACUGGCAUUGAUACUGUAGAGCUUGAGUUCAGUCGAGGUAGGCGGAAUUGAUGGUGUAGCGGUGAAAUGCUUAGAUAUCAUCAAGAACAUCUAUUGCGAAGGCAGCUUGCUAGGCUGAUACUGACGCUGAGGCACGAAAGCGUGGGGAGCGAACAGG